UACGGGGGGGGCAAGCGUUGUUCGGAAUUACUGGGCGUAAAGGGUUCGUAGGUGGCCAACUAAGUCAGACGUGAAAUCCCUCAGCUUAACUGGGGAACUGCGUCUGAUACUGGUUGGCUUGAGUGCAGGAGAGGAACGCGGAAUUCCAGGUGUAGCGGUGAAAUGCGUAGAUAUCGUAAGGAAGACCAGUGGCGAAGGCGGGUCUCUGGACAGUUCCUGACGCUGAGGCACGAAGGCCAGGGGAGCAAACGGG
Molecule: ribosomal RNA, 253 nt
Filed under: uncultured bacterium
Lineage: Bacteria
Description: partial 16S ribosomal RNA
Rfam family: Bacterial small subunit ribosomal RNA
Source: RNAcentral